UUGCUGGGGGGAUUAGUGGCGAACGGGUGAGUAACACGUGAGUAACCUGCCCUUAACUCUGGGAUAAGCCUGGGAAACUGGGUCUAAUACCGGAUAUGACCUUCCAUCGCAUGGUGGUUGGUGGAAAGCUUUUUUGUGGUUUUGGAUGGACUCGCGGCCUAUCAGCUUGUUGGUGAGGUAAUGGCUUACCAAGGCGACGACGGGUAGCCGGCCUGAGAGGGUGACCGGCCACACUGGGACUGAGACACGGCCCAGACUCCUACGGGAGGCAGCAGUGGGGAAUAUUGCACAAUGGGCGCAAGCCUGAUGCAGCGACGCCGCGUGAGGGAUGACGGCCUUCGGGUUGUAAACCUCUUUCAGUAGGGAAGAAGCCGCAAGGUGACGGUACCUGCAGAAGAAGCGCCGGCUAACUACGUGCCAGCAGCCGCGGUAAUACGUAGGGCGCAAGCGUUAUCCGGAAUUAUUGGGCGUAAAGAGCUCGUAGGCGGUUUGUCGCGUCUGCCGUGAAAGUCCGGGGCUCAACUCCGGAUCUGCGGUGGGUACGGGCAGACUAGAGUGAUGUAGGGGAGACUGGAAUUCCUGGUGUAGCGGUGAAAUGCGCAGAUAUCAGGAGGAACACCGAUGGCGAAGGCAGGUCUCUGGGCAUUAACUGACGCUGAGGAGCGAAAGCAUGGGGAGCGAACAGGAUUAGAUACCCUGGUAGUCCAUGCCGUAAACGUUGGGCACUAGGUGUGGGGGACAUUCCACGUUUUCCGCGCCGUAGCUAACGCAUUAAGUGCCCCGCCUGGGGAGUACGGCCGCAAGGCUAAAACUCAAAGGAAUUGACGGGGGCCCGCACAAGCGGCGGAGCAUGCGGAUUAAUUCGAUGCAACGCGAAGAACCUUACCAAGGCUUGACAUGAACUAGUAAGGCGCAGAAAUGCGUCCCCCACUUUGUGGCUGGUUUACAGGUGGUGCAUGGUUGUCGUCAGCUCGUGUCGUGAGAUGUUGGGUUAAGUCCCGCAACGAGCGCAACCCUCGUUCUAUGUUGCCAGCGCGUGAUGGCGGGGACUCAUAGGAGACUGCCGGGGUCAACUCGGAGGAAGGUGGGGACGACGUCAAAUCAUCAUGCCCCUUAUGUCUUGGGCUUCACGCAUGCUACAAUGGCCGGUACAAAGGGUUGCGAUACUGUGAGGUGGAGCUAAUCCCAAAAAGCCGGUCUCAGUUCGGAUUGGGGUCUGCAACUCGACCCCAUGAAGUCGGAGUCGCUAGUAAUCGCAGAUCAGCAACGCUGCGGUGAAUACGUUCCCGGGCCUUGUACACACCGCCCGUCAAGUCACGAAAGUUGGUAACACCCGAAGCCGGUGGCC
Molecule: ribosomal RNA, 1348 nt
Filed under: Arthrobacter sp.
Lineage: Bacteria; Bacillati; Actinomycetota; Actinomycetes; Micrococcales; Micrococcaceae
Description: bacterial SSU rRNA
Rfam family: Bacterial small subunit ribosomal RNA
Source: RNAcentral